GAUGAACGCUGGCGGCGUGCCUAAUACAUGCAAGUCGAGCGAACGGACGAGAAGCUUGCUUCUCUGAUGUUAGCGGCGGACGGGUGAGUAACACGUGGAUAACCUACCUAUAAGACUGGGAUAACUUCGGGAAACCGGAGCUAAUACCGGAUAAUAUUUUGAACCGCAUGGUUCAAAAGUGAAAGACGGUCUUGCUGUCACUUAUAGAUGGAUCCGCGCUGCAUUAGCUAGUUGGUAAGGUAACGGCUUACCAAGGCAACGAUGCAUAGCGGACCUGAGAGGGAGGGCGGACACACUGGGACUGAGACACGGUGGAGACCAAGGCGUGAGGGAGCAGUGGGGAGGCUUCCGUGAUGGGCUAAAGACAGAAGGAUCAACGUAGUGUGAAUGAUGAAGGUCUUAGGAACGUAAAACUCUGUUAUCAGGGAAGAACAAAAGAGUAAGUAACAAUGCCCAUCCGGCAGCGGCCUAAACAGACCGCCACGGCUCCCAUCAGC
RNAcentral lists this ribosomal RNA (497 nucleotides) under uncultured bacterium. Its description in RNAcentral is "partial 16S ribosomal RNA". It matches the Rfam family "Bacterial small subunit ribosomal RNA", at positions 28 to 515 of the family's 1533-position model. The record is from RNAcentral.